RNAcentral lists this ribosomal RNA (256 nucleotides) under uncultured bacterium. Its description in RNAcentral is "partial 16S ribosomal RNA". It matches the Rfam family "Bacterial small subunit ribosomal RNA", at positions 524 to 776 of the family's 1533-position model. The record is from RNAcentral.
UACGGGGGGAGCAAGCGUUGUUCGGAUUUACUGGGCGUAAAGGGCGCGUAGGCGGUCGUGACAAGUCACUUGUGAAAUCUCCGGGCUUAACUCGGAACGGUCAAGUGAUACUGUCGGACUAGAGUACAGAAGGGGCAACUGGAAUUCUCGGUGUAGCGGUGAAAAUGCGUAGAUAUCGAGAGGAACACCUGCGGCGAAGGCGGGUUGCUGGGCUGAUACUGACGCUGAGGCGCGAAAGCCAGGGGGAGCGAACGGG